This 506-nucleotide ribosomal RNA is filed under the name uncultured bacterium. Its description in RNAcentral is "partial 16S ribosomal RNA". It matches the Rfam family "Bacterial small subunit ribosomal RNA", at positions 29 to 523 of the family's 1533-position model. The record is from RNAcentral.
AGUGAACGCUGGCGGUAGGCCUAACACAUGCAAGUCGAACGGCAGCACAGAGGAGCUUGCUCCUUGGGUGGCGAGUGGCGGACGGGUGAGGAAUACAUCGGAAUCUACUCUGUCGUGGGGGAUAACGUAGGGAAACUUACGCUAAUACCGCAUACGACCUACGGGUGACAGCAGGGGAUCUUCGGACCUUGCGCGAUUGAAUGAGCCGAUGUCGGAUUAGCUAGUUGGCGGGGUAAAGGCCCACCAAGGCGACGAUCCGUAGCUGGUCUGAGAGGAUGAUCAGCCACACUGGAACUGAGACACGGUCCAGACUCCUACGGGAGGCAGCAGUGGGGAAUAUUGGUCAAUGGGCGCAAGCCUGAUCCAGCCAUACCGCGUGGGUGAAGAAGGCCUUCGGGUUGUAAAGCCCUUUUGUUGGGAAAGAAAUCCAUCUGGUUAAUACCCGGAUGGGAUGACGGUACCCAAAGAAUAAGCACCGGCUAACUUCGUGCCAGCCGCCGCGGUAA